Molecule: long non-coding RNA, 2506 nt
Organism: Triticum aestivum (bread wheat)
Lineage: Eukaryota; Viridiplantae; Streptophyta; Magnoliopsida; Poales; Poaceae
Exons: 2
Source: RefSeq, a predicted model, not a curated record
AGGACAUUAGCUUUUUGCCGAUCCAUGGGUCAGAUAGGAACAGGACAGUUCGAAACCCUCGCCUCGCCCCUGCUCCACUCGUCUUCUGGUGCCCCGGCCGCCUAUCACCACCCCAACAUCCCGGCAGACGGCCCUCCCAUCCCCAACCCCGUUGGUGGCGACCGGUCAGGAUAUUGAUUUUGGCGACGAGGAUUUUGGCGACGGCUGCCACUGGCUGAGAGGAAUGGAAGAGGCAGGUAUUGAGUUUCUCCUGGAUGCAGUUGACAGGUUAGUGACCUCGGAUCCGCAAGAAAGUUUUGAGCAACUAGCUUGUGUGAGCACUGACGGGCAAAAAGUGGCCGCCACCACUGUCAUCUACUCCGUAUUUAUUAGGUUCCCACUUCUUGAGGAGUUCGCUAAAAGCAGGGACCACCCAGAUCCGCUUCCUCUGGUUGUGGUGGUGAACAGCGGAGUAGGGGUUGCUGUCCCUGCAGAUUCCGUUGCUGAUUCUGAUUAUGGGUAGCAGAUUGGAUACGAGGGCAGCAAUCCUAUGCUUGCUGGGGUUCGACGACAACCGGAUUCAUCCCCAACGAGGUCUGCAUAGUCUACUAACAGAGUCAAUCCCCAGGCCUCUGGCUGGAUAAAAAGGUAUGAAAAAUGUAAAUCACGUGCGUCGUAUGAUUUUCUAAUUUCUGCUUAAGCAUUGUACACUGCUGGGUGUUGAAAAAAUUCAGACAUGAGUUAGAUGAUUUCGGGUAUGAUUCAGACAACAUACAGUUUCGUAAAUGAAUUUCGGCACCUGAACCAUUUGUAUCAAUUGGAUGUUCAAACGCGUAUUACUGUUUUGCAGUAUGGAUUCUUUGGUGAUUUCAUUACAUUCAACACGACUUACGGGACAAACCUAUACGACAUGCCUUUUGGUUUGUUCGUCGGUGUUAACAAUAAUUUUCAAAGCAUUAUACUUGCUAGUGUGUUGAUGAGGGACGAACUAGAGGAUGAUGGGAGGGCUAGCUCCGAAGAUAUUUCUUAUAGACCAGAACAGAGCCAUGGAAGUGACAAUCAAGAAGGUGUACCCAGGGUCAGGGACUACACAGGUCGUGCAAAUGGCAAAUCUUAAAUAAAGCAAAGGAGACAUUAGGACUGAUGUAUACAAAGAAUUCUGAUUUCCAGGUUGAAUUCCACAAGGUUGUGAACCACAUGUUAACAGAAGAUGAGUUUGAGGCGGCGUGGAAUACGCUGUUAGAUAAAUACAAUUUGAGUAAGCACACCUACAUGACACAGCUGUAUGAAAUCAAAGAAAAAUGGGCAAAACCUUACUUCAAAGGAGAACAAAUUUGGCGACAGAGCAACAUGCCAGUAAGAUAUACACCAGGGCAAUGUUUAAGUAGUUCGGACGUCUGCUGAUUGAAGCGACUGCUUAUAAAAUGUCACAGAAAUAGAGAGGAUGAGGAGGUAUGUUACAGUUCACAACAUUGUAGGAAAAGAGAGAAAUGGAGCAGGGUUGAGUAUGAAGUGACCAUAAAUGAGGACCAAAACAAGUUUUCCUGUGAGUGUGGCCAGUUCGAGCACACUCGUAUGCUGUGCAGCCAUGUUCUGAGGGUAAACUUCCAGGACAGUUUAAUGACAGAUAAGAAUAAAUGUGGUUCUUGGAGAAGACAACUGAUUUUCUUUUUGAUAUCUUGUAGGUCAUGGAAAUACUUCAUCUCGAGGAGAUACGUGCAAAGCAUAUAUUGAAACGGUGAACAAAGGACGUGAGGGACAUGUUGCCCCAACAUCUAGUUCAGUACCAGAGGGACAACUCAGUUAACCUGUCGUUUACUUGUAGGCACUCGGCGCUUUACCCGAAAGCCAUGGAGGUGGUAAGGAUGCGUGAUGCGAGUGCAGCAGCUUUCGAUGAUGUGUUCGCCGGUCUGAACGCUCUACUGUUGAGUGGCGCACCUUUCGCAGAAAAGCGGGAUGGUUACGGUUUUGAGGACCACAUGGCUGGCUUAACUCCUGGUACAUUACCAGGCAAUGGAGAGAUCGCAUAUGUUGGGGACAAGGGUGCUGAUAGAUGCAUCAGUACUGGAAACUCAAUUAGGGCGAAUGGUUUGCAUUGUCUAAUAGUACCAGAGAAGCAGAGGGGGUUGGAAGACCUACAAACAGCAGAGAGAAGGCACCGUACAAGGGGCUCAGUAAGCGCACAAGAUUCUGCAGCAUUUGCCGGCGCGGGAGUCACAACAGACUACAUACCUCGAAAGAGGGGAUGCCCCGAAGAAACCACGGAAGCCCGAGAGAUGCAGGAAUUGUCGAAUGGAAGGGACCGGCGGACAACGCGCACAAGAUCUUUGGAUGCUGCUGAAAAUGAAGUCUGAACUUUAUGUGCGUAAAUUAUAUUAUUGUUGUUCCGAGGAUUUUUCUAGUGUGUUUCUGUGAGCAUUGCUCCAUGCUUGUUCCUCAAUUUCGAGACGGAGUGGUAAUUGCUGUAGCUAAGAACAAAACUUUGUAUCAUGGUAAUUUGUAAUAUGAUGGUUGGCUUUUUUUUGAA